GGCAAAUGCAGUGAGCGGCCUUAGCUUCCUGAAUGGGUGCUGGCAGCGUCUUUGUGUAGCCUGCCUAGUUUAGAUGUCCGUGCCUGGUGACUGUUACCCAGGAUAUUCUGAGCCAGCCAACAGUUACAUCUGCUGCCUACCUCUGGGGAUCCUUAAGGGCAAGAGUGAAGAUGGUCACCAACAAAAGGACUGAGUGAAAUGAAACUGUUCCUUUUAUCCUGUCUGGGCCUGUCUGGCUCAGAGGGGCCAACAUGAAUGGCAAGAAAUCUGAGAAUGUCCUCCUGCAUGAAUCCCUGGGACAAUCAAUCCGUCCCCAGAUGUCAUUUGAAUGGCUGAUACACAUCAUAUGAGGAAGUGAUGGCAAGAUCCUAAAGAAGCUGUGGACGAUGAGACUUGGCAAAGUCAUACCCUGCACUGCAGACAUGCUCAAAUGUUCAUUCCCCGAGACAGAGAAAUAAGAAGGCCAGGUCGUGGUAGCACACACCUUUAAUUCCAGCACUCGUGAGGGGGAGGCAGUCAGAUCUCUGAGUUUGAUGCUGGCAGCCUGGUCUACAGAGAGAGUUCCAGGACAGUCAGGACUACACAGAGAAACCCUCUCUUGAAAAACAACAAGAAAAGAAAAUAUUCGUCUCAGAAGGAAGGAAAGAUGGGAAGAAAGGAAGGAGGAGCCAGCAUGUGUGACACAGGAUGAGCAGUCCCAGCCGUGGUCCUCACUAGCUGUGCUACUUGCGGGUGGGGGGUGGGGGGCUAAGCCCUUUGCAUAAGAGCUCUUGCCUGUAGUCCAGCACUUGGGAGGCUGGGGCAGGAGAAUUGUCAUCACUUGGAUACCAGCUUGGGCUACAAAGUGAGUUCCAGCCUGAGCCCCAUAUGGGGGCAGGGACACAACAGGACAAGAAAGACUGGGGGCAAUUCUAAGGUGCCUCAUCUGAAAGAUCAAAGUCCUACUUUCUCCUUUCUGAUGUACUUGGAGAUCUCUGCCCACAGGAGGUCAGAAUGCAAGCAUGGGGAGAACAAGGAAGAACCCAUCCCCUUGUGUGCUGCCUGUGUGGAUAUUGUGAUUGCUGUCAGUACUAACUAAACCCUGGGUGACUGAGCCCAGGAGUCAUGCACAUUUAUCCCUGUCAUCAGUCCAAUUCUGCCAGGCUGAGAAGGCCCCAGGCUCUGGGAUACAAGAAGCUGCUAUUUGGGACCCACCCUUUUCUCCACCAAGCAGAUGUAGCUCUUGGAAGCCAAGGCUAGGGGCCCAAAGCAGGAAGGAGAUUGAGCUGGGGUCCUGAAGAGGGUGCUGCUUGACUGCACAGAGCCUGCCCUGCCCUACCCUGCCCUGCAGAGGUGGAGUAGGUUGGCUCCAACAAUGACUAAGUUACAGAAUAAAGGAUGUGGCCCUCCCUGGCCAGGCAGAAAGUGUGCAGGAGCCAUGCCUGAGCAAUA
This 1431-nucleotide long non-coding RNA is filed under the name Cricetulus griseus (Chinese hamster). RNAcentral describes it as "lncRNA (ENSCGRG00015042393.1)". Lineage: Eukaryota; Metazoa; Chordata; Mammalia; Rodentia; Cricetidae. The record is from RNAcentral.